RNAcentral lists this ribosomal RNA (390 nucleotides) under Triticum aestivum (bread wheat). RNAcentral's name for it is "partial small subunit ribosomal RNA". Lineage: Eukaryota; Viridiplantae; Streptophyta; Magnoliopsida; Poales; Poaceae. The record is from RNAcentral.
AUGGCGUCCCAGCUGGUCGAGAGCCACCGCUCUGGCGCCAAGGUUGUCAAGGGGGACGACGUCUGCAAGAAGAGGUCCGUCGAGCUCCUCGAAGAGCUUGGCCUCCCAAAAGGCCUAUUUCCAAUGAGCGACAUGGAGGAGGUCGGGUACAACCGCGAGAGCAGCUUCAUGUGGAUGCUUCAGAAGAAGAAGAACGAGCACACCUUCAAGAAGAUCAAGCAGACGGUCUCCUAUGCCCCCGAGGUGACCGCUUUCGUCAAGAAGGGCAAGAUCAAGAAGGUCACCGGGGUCAAGGUCAAGGAGCUGUUUCUGUGGCUCAGUUUGGUUGAGGUCUAUGUCGAGAGUCCUCCGCUGAAAAAGUCACCUUCAGGACUGGUACCGACUGUCUGA